GACGAACGCUGGCGGCGUGCUUAACACAUGCAAGUCGAACGGAAAGGCCCUGCUUUUGUGGUGUGCUCGGGUGGCGAACGGGUGAGUAACACGUGAGUAACGUGCCCUUGACUUUGGGAUAGCUUCAGGAAGCUGGGGCUAAUCCCGGAUCGGAGCUCCUGCUGCAUGGUGGGGGUGGGAUCGUUUCGGCGGUUGCGGAUGGAUGCGCGGCUGAUCGGCUUGUUGGUGGGGUAGUGGCUUACCAAGGCUUUGACCGAUAGCCGGCCUGAGAGGGUGGCCGGCGACAUUGGGACUGAGAGACGGCGCAGUCUCCAACGGGAGGCAGCAGUGGGGAAUAUUGCACAAUGGGCGGAAGCCUGAUGCAGCAACGCCGCGUGCGGGAUGACGGCCUUCGGGGUGUAAACCGCUGUCGCCUGAGACGAAGCGGGAGUGACGGUAAUGGGUAAAGAAGCACCGGCUAACUACGUG
RNAcentral lists this ribosomal RNA (468 nucleotides) under uncultured bacterium. Its description in RNAcentral is "partial 16S ribosomal RNA". It matches the Rfam family "Bacterial small subunit ribosomal RNA", at positions 28 to 507 of the family's 1533-position model. The record is from RNAcentral.